RNAcentral lists this ribosomal RNA (253 nucleotides) under uncultured bacterium. RNAcentral describes it as "partial 16S ribosomal RNA". It matches the Rfam family "Bacterial small subunit ribosomal RNA", at positions 524 to 776 of the family's 1533-position model. The record is from RNAcentral.
UACGGGGGGGGCAAGCGUUGUUCGGAAUUACUGGGCGUAAAGGGCUCGUAGGUGGCCAACUAAGUCAGACGUGAAAUCCCUCGGCUUAACCGGGGAACUGCGUCUGAUACUGGAUGGCUUGGGUUUGGGAGAGGAAAGCGGAACUGAUGGUGGAGCGGUGAAAUGCGUUGAUAUCAUCAGGAACACCGGUGGCGAAGGCGGCUUUCUGGGUCUUACCUGACGCUGAGGAACGAAAGCCAGGGGAGCGAACGGG